RNAcentral lists this long non-coding RNA (463 nucleotides) under Dasypus novemcinctus (nine-banded armadillo). Its description in RNAcentral is "lncRNA (ENSDNOG00000052708.1)". Lineage: Eukaryota; Metazoa; Chordata; Mammalia; Cingulata; Dasypodidae. The record is from RNAcentral.
CGGGGCGCGUCGGGUCUGCUCGUUGCGCAGCUCCGGCCCCGCCGGGCGAACGCACAGGCGCGGCGCGGAGCACCUGCUCUCCCCGCUCGCGUGCCCCGCCACCGCUUCCCCCGCAUCCCGGCCACUCCUGCUGAUUUCUCUGUCGCGGUGCUUCGUGAUUAUGCCUUUUUCCUGCAGCACCUUGGACCCCUCACCCAGCGCCGUCCACCCCCUGUCGUCGCGUGAAGGGUGUGAGAGAAGCAGAAGUAAAUUUAUCAACAUGGCCUUUGGGCUGCGACCAUCAAGCUACGCCUACCCACUCAAGUAUUCGAAAAGCCAGGCAGGCCAGAUGGCUCUGAAACAAUCUUUGGAGAUUUUUAUAAAGAACACAAAGGGAUUAAAAAAAAAAAAAGAGGAAGAACUCAUUCUUUUACUAUGCAGGUAGCUUAACUAUAUAUAUGAUUAUAUAUGUGCAGAUGGAGUC